Molecule: non-coding RNA, 26 nt
Filed under: Aspergillus tubingensis
Lineage: Eukaryota; Fungi; Ascomycota; Eurotiomycetes; Eurotiales; Aspergillaceae
Also listed under: 2 other names
Source: RNAcentral
UACGUGAACCUGCGGAAGGAUCAUUA